This 1205-nucleotide long non-coding RNA is filed under the name Malus domestica (apple). RNAcentral's name for it is "long non-coding RNA (MDOM_LNC013320)". The record is from RNAcentral. Lineage: Eukaryota; Viridiplantae; Streptophyta; Magnoliopsida; Rosales; Rosaceae.
UUGCUCAGCUGGCGGCGAUGCUCUCUAACGAAGGUGAGGGAGUCCCUUUUAUAAAAUAAGGGCUCGCUCCUCAAUACAUAAGUGAUGGGCUAAGUCCCCCAGGUAUUUUUCAUGAGUGCUCUAUAAUGAAAGUGAGGAAGUCCCUUUUAUAAAAUAAGGGCUCACUCCUCAAUACAUGAAUAAUGGGUUAAGUCCCCCGAGUAUUUUUCAUGAAGCCCAGUUAAGGCCUAAUAUAUGGUACAUAAUGUAGUUCCCCAAAUCUUCGGUCAAUAGAGUCUGUUGGCUGGAGACUUCAAAUUGAAUCCAUGUAUGGGCCGAAGUGGCGGUUGUUCGGAGGCGGUAUUUGUAUACCCUGCAUUGAAGCUUUGUAAGUGAAGCUUUAUAAGUGAAGCUUUGAAUCUGGAGCUCUGUAAAUGAAGCUUUUGCAGCUAGAGCUUUUGUAAAUGAAGCUUUUUGAAGCUGAUUGACAUGAGUGAUGCUCAUGAAUGUUUGAUUGACAUGAGUGAUGCUCAUGGAUGUUGACAUGAGUGAUGCUCAUGAAUGUUGACAUGAGUGAUGCUCAUGAUUGUUUAUGUAUGAUUGACAUGAGUAAUGCUCAUGUAUAAUAUGAAGUACUAAGCGUACUUUUGAUCACCUGGUUGGUGGCAUGAAGAGGAGUACAGGUUGUACAUUUCAUCACCUGGUUGGUGGCAUGAAUGGCUAGUUGCCAAAUUAGAGUACGGGUUGUACAUCUCAUCACCUGGUUGGUGGCAUGAAUGGCUAGUUGUCAAAUGAUAUUUAGAGUACGGGUUGUACAUUUCAUCACCUGGUUGGUGGUAAUAGCGGCGGGUUGCCGAAUAAUUUUGGAGUACUAAGCGUACUUUUGGUCACCUGGUUGGUAUAAUAGCGACGGGUUGCCGAAUAAUUGUGAAGUACUGGGCGUACUUUUGAUGACCUGGUUGGUGCUAUUUUGGGCUUAUGGGCCUUCGCCCUCCACAACAUGCCAGCCCAUUUAUUUUGGGCUUUGCCCUUUUUUUUUUUUUAGGUAUUAUUAUUACCCUCUGAUGGGGUUUAUACAGAUGUAUCCGAAAGAUAAUAAAUUACAUCAUUCUGGUGGGAUGUUUAUUCCUUGCUUUUGCUUUUCUCUUUUCUUUUCUGCUUUUGUAAUUAUCUCAGUGGGUAGCCAUACUUUCUGCUUUGUUCUUUUCCACCACAAAUCUCAUGUU